CAACAGUGAGCGGCGGUGGUCUGGGCGGACUGCCAGACGCGGAUCGGCUGGGUACGACUUUGUUUCCAGGAUCCGGGUGUCAUAAAACAUUCGCAAUGCGCCUCCAAUCAAAGGCAGACGGAGAGGCAUCGAUCCACAGCGAGGAGACACAAAGAGCUCGCCAGGGCCAAUCAAUGAGUGGCCACUCCCUCCACCAGUACUGUAUGUACCUUCCCUGCCUGUGUGGGUGAGUUGGAUGGACGCGCCCCCUCAGCCGCUGGCCCCCCUAGUGACACUAUAAUGUCGACAAAGUCCUAAUGGAGACGAAGUGUUCUCCGUUACCAGCCAGUAAUAAGGGUUCCUCUUGUGCUCGCUGUGUUCUGUCGGUGCCAUGGGAAACUGUCAUGGCCACUCUGAAUUAAGGCGAGCGUACCGUGAGGGGCAGAUCCGCCUCGCUCGUUAGGUAAGUACAGACAGCAGGCGAUGGAUGAUGCGGGUUAUGGUUCAAGGACUUUACUAGGGAACUGCUUAUGAUUUGUUCACGAAGCCGCUUUG
Molecule: long non-coding RNA, 534 nt
Organism: Scylla paramamosain (green mud crab)
Lineage: Eukaryota; Metazoa; Arthropoda; Malacostraca; Decapoda; Portunidae
Exons: 6
Source: RefSeq, a predicted model, not a curated record